GUUUUUGUAGUUUAUAAAAACAGUAACUUUGUAAGUUAAAAAAAGCAUUUGCUCAAAAACU
This 61-nucleotide transfer RNA is filed under the name Pseudobiotus spinifer. RNAcentral's name for it is "tRNA-Thr". Lineage: Eukaryota; Metazoa; Tardigrada; Eutardigrada; Parachela; Doryphoribiidae. The record is from RNAcentral.